This 508-nucleotide ribosomal RNA is filed under the name Streptomyces sp. SCAU5114. RNAcentral describes it as "bacterial SSU rRNA". It matches the Rfam family "Bacterial small subunit ribosomal RNA", at positions 116 to 638 of the family's 1533-position model. Lineage: Bacteria; Bacillati; Actinomycetota; Actinomycetes; Kitasatosporales; Streptomycetaceae. The record is from RNAcentral.
CGUGGGCAAUCUGCCCUGCACUCUGGGACAAGCCCUGGAAACGGGGUCUAAUACCGGAUAAUACUGUGCCCCUCAUGGGGGAUGGUUAAAAGCUCCGGCGGUGCAGGAUGAGCCCGCGGCCUAUCAGCUUGUUGGUGGGGUAAUGGCCUACCAAGGCGACGACGGGUAGCCGGCCUGAGAGGGCGACCGGCCACACUGGGACUGAGACACGGCCCAGACUCCUACGGGAGGCAGCAGUGGGGAAUAUUGCACAAUGGGCGAAAGCCUGAUGCAGCGACGCCGCGUGAGGGAUGACGGCCUUCGGGUUGUAAACCUCUUUCAGCAGGGAAGAAGCGAAAGUGACGGUACCUGCAGAAGAAGCGCCGGCUAACUACGUGCCAGCAGCCGCGGUAAUACGUAGGGCGCAAGCGUUGUCCGGAAUUAUUGGGCGUAAAGAGCUCGUAGGCGGUCUGUCACGUCGGGUGUGAAAGCCCGGGGCUUAACCCCGGGUCUGCAUUCGAUACGGGCA